Pseudonaja textilis is the source of this 299-nucleotide non-coding RNA. The record is from RefSeq and is a predicted model, not a curated record. Lineage: Eukaryota; Metazoa; Chordata; Lepidosauria; Squamata; Elapidae.
GGCGAAGCUGCGUUCCCCUCCCUCGGCGUGCUGGAGCUGUCAUCCGAUGUUCGUCUCUGGAGCAAGAUCAGAGAGCUUCCCUGCCUCUCUUGCUUUCCUCCUAGAAGCACCCUUGCGGGCAGCCGCGCAGCUCCGAACUCGAGAAGAAAGACUGAAAUGGAUCCAUAAAAAGAGGAGCCCAUGACUGUAGCAAAGAACAAACAGCUGAUAAGAGAUGAAAAUGAGAAGAAGAGAUCAUUUUGUACAUUUUACAAGGAGGGGAUAAAUUACCUUGAAGUUUAGAAGUCACUUCCUUAGAU